This is a long non-coding RNA of Chelmon rostratus (copperband butterflyfish), 291 nucleotides long. RefSeq lists it as uncharacterized. NCBI's taxonomy places the organism in Eukaryota, Metazoa, Chordata, Actinopteri, Chaetodontiformes, Chaetodontidae. The record is from RefSeq and is a predicted model, not a curated record. The transcript is spliced from 4 exons.
GAAGCACCAGCCGUAGUUAGUCAUUUGCUACCUUCCUCCUGGACCAAACAUCACUGUUGGAGCUAGCCACUUUCCACAAGUGGAAGCCCUUCCAGACUGGACUCAGUUUCCUCAAAGGAAGUGAAGCCACUCAGAAACUGGACUUCAGGAAAUCAGGUACAGGUCCUCCCAGCAGACAUUGCCUUUAUAACAUGUUGUAAUGUCACUCUCUUAUAGGUUUUUGUUACAAUGUGCAUUUGUUUCAAAGCAUUAUGUAAACCUGGAUUUGCUCUGAUUUAAUAAAGUAUACCU